CUGUGGUCUCUUCUCCCAUAAUAUUAGAGGUCCUUAGCAACUUCACCAGAGGAAAGAAAGAAAGAAGGUCUGUACCAGAAAUGGCAUUAUCGUCAUCAUCAUUCUGGUACUUCAUCCAUCUAUUUCUCUAUUUUCCUGGUGAUUUGACACAAAUGUCUGUACGUCUUGGCAAAACAAAAAGAAAGGACGGAAAGGGUAAAUGGAGGCCUGAUCUGAUCCAGCUAUCUUGAAACUAGGCAAUUGUGAUCGUGACAAUCACCUUCCAUUUCACAUGCCAAACAUAAAACUCGAAGGUUGUGGACCUCUGUUUUGCUCCAUGAUUUCUAUUGCUCAUCAUUAUUGGAAGAUUUAAUCGUUUUGGCCACAGUAUAUACUGCAAACCAUCACCUAAUGAUCAGUAUUGGGGGAGGGGCCCUUGAUUUGAUGCUUCAUUAUUUGCUUGCCAAAUGCAAAUGGGAAGAAGAUGUGUGUCGUUUAUAAUAUGAAGAGAGCUGAAUACGACAAUGCCCUUUGUGUGUGAUUGGGUAAAAUAAAAUUUUGUAAUAACAUAGUACAGCUUGUCGGAGUCUUUUGAUAAAAAAACACAGCAGAAACAGUGAAAAAACUUUUGAGCAAAAAGUAAUGUAUCAGAGAGAAGAAUAAGAAGGAGACAAUGGUAUCCUUACACAAUGAGAUGAAAAAUAGAAAAGAACAUUAUAUUUACCUCAAGAAAGCAAAGCAUAAUUUUUCAUUUCCU
Molecule: long non-coding RNA, 736 nt
Organism: Hevea brasiliensis (rubber tree)
Lineage: Eukaryota; Viridiplantae; Streptophyta; Magnoliopsida; Malpighiales; Euphorbiaceae
Exons: 3
Source: RefSeq, a predicted model, not a curated record